GACGAACGCUGGCGGCGUGCUUAACACAUGCAAGUCGAGCGGUAAGGCCCUUUCGGGGGUACACGAGCGGCGAACGGGUGAGUAACACGUGGGUGACCUGCCCUCAGCUCUGGGAUAAGCCUGGGAAACCGGGUCUAAUACCGGAUAUGACUCCAUGACGCAUGUUGUGGGGUGGAAAGCCUUGUGCGGCUGAGGAUGGGCCCGCGGCCUACCAGCUUGUUGGUGGGGUGAUGGCCACCAAGGCGACGACGGGUAGCCGGCCUGAGAGGGCGACCGGCCACACUGGGACUGAGACACGGCCCAGACUCCUACGGGAGGCAGCAGUGGGGAAUCUUGCGCAAUGGGCGAAAGCCUGGCGCAGCGACGCCGCGUGAGGGAUGACGG
RNAcentral lists this ribosomal RNA (384 nucleotides) under uncultured bacterium. RNAcentral describes it as "bacterial SSU rRNA". It matches the Rfam family "Bacterial small subunit ribosomal RNA", at positions 28 to 414 of the family's 1533-position model. The record is from RNAcentral.